GACGAACGCUGGCGGCGUGCUUAACACAUGCAAGUCGAGCGGUAAGGCCCUUUCGGGGGUACGACGAGCGGCGAACGGGUGAGUAACACGUGGGUGACCUGCCCUUAGCUCUGGGAUAAGCCUGGGAAACGUGGGUCUAAUACCGGAUAUGACUCCAUGACGCAUGUUGUGGGGUGGAAAGCCUUGUGCGGCUAGGGAUGGGCCUGCGGCCUAUCAGCUUGUU
This 223-nucleotide ribosomal RNA is filed under the name uncultured bacterium. RNAcentral's name for it is "partial 16S ribosomal RNA". It matches the Rfam family "Bacterial small subunit ribosomal RNA", at positions 28 to 250 of the family's 1533-position model. The record is from RNAcentral.